GUGGGCCAUGGAGUACAACCCAAACAUAUAUUUAUUGUAUGACAAGACUCUGGAACAACUUCCCGAUAAGUUAAAUAUUACGCAGCUAAAGCAAUACGGGAAAUUUGAAAGGAGAAUAUUGAGAACUGGUGCAACAAAACAGCACGACGCACUUGCCAUUUUCCUAGUUGCAAGUGUUCUUGAAACGAAGAAAAAACAGCUUAUGAAAGAGGCGAAAGGCCUU
RNAcentral lists this unclassified non-coding RNA (223 nucleotides) under Hevea brasiliensis (rubber tree). Lineage: Eukaryota; Viridiplantae; Streptophyta; Magnoliopsida; Malpighiales; Euphorbiaceae. The record is from RNAcentral.